This 6148-nucleotide long non-coding RNA is filed under the name Citrus x clementina. RNAcentral describes it as "Citrus clementina (C. clementina) long non-coding RNA (CCLE_LNC003213)". The record is from RNAcentral. Lineage: Eukaryota; Viridiplantae; Streptophyta; Magnoliopsida; Sapindales; Rutaceae.
GCCAAAAAUAGGCCGCGGGCAAAGCCGCGCCCAAAAUUAACCGCCCGAAGGCCGGGGCGCCAAGUUCGUCCAGUGGAAAAAGGCCACAAAAACGGGUGGGCUAUAGCCUUGGGGGGUGGGGCUGGCCAACUUCGUCCGCCGGACUCGGAAUGCCGCGAGACUUUGCGAGGGGUCUCCGUGUGCCAAAAAUAGUCCGUGGGCAAAGCCGUGCCCAAAAAUAACCGCCCGAAGGCCGGGGCGCCAAGUUCGUCCAUCGGAAAAAGGCCACAAAAACGGGUGGGCUAUAGCCUUGGGGGGUGGGGCUGGCCAACUUCGUCCGCCGGACUCGGAUUGCCACGAGACAUUGCGAGGGGCCUCCGUGUGCCAAAAAUAGGUCGCAGGCAAAGCCGCGCCCAAAAAUAACAGCCCAAAGACCUGGGCGCCAACUUCGUCCAGCAGAAAAAGGCCACAAAAACGGGUGGGCUAUAGCCUUGGGGGGUGGGUCUGGCCAACUUCGUCCGCCGGACUCAGAAUGCCGCGAGACUUUGCGAGGGGCCUCCGUGUGUCAAAAAUAGGCCGCGGGAAAAGCCGCGCCCAAAAAGAACCGCCCGACGGCUGGGGUACCAAGUUCGUCCAGCGGAAAAAGGCUACAAAAACGGGUGGGCUAUAGCCUUGGGGGGUGGGGCUGGCUAACUUCGUCCGCCGGACUUGGAAUGCCGCGAGACUUUGCGAGGGGCCUCCGUGUUCCAAAAAUAGGCCGCGGGCAAAGCCGUACCCAAAAUUAACCGCCCGAAGGCUGGGGCGCCAAGUUUGUCCAGCGGAAAAAGGCCACAAAAACGGGUGGGCUAUAGCCUUGGGGGGUGAUGCUGGCCAUCUUUGUCCGCCGGACUUGGAAUGCCACGAGACUUUGCGAGGGCCCUCCGUGUGCCAAAAAUAGGCCGUGGGCAAAGCCGCGCCCAAAAUUAACCGCCCGAAGGCCGGGGCGCCAAGUUCGUCCAGCGGAAAAGGCCACAAAAACGGGUGGGCUAUAGCCUUGGGGGGUGGGGCUAGCCAACUUCAUCCGCCGGACUCGGAAUGCCGUGAGACUUUAUGAGGGGCCUCCUUGUCCCAAACAUAGGCCGUGGGCAAAGCCGCGCCCAAAAAUAACCGCCCGAAGGCCGGGGCGGCAAGUUCGUCCAGCGGAAAAAGGCCACAAAAACGGGUGGGCUAUAGCCUUGGGGGGUGAUGCUGGCCCACUUCCUCCGCCGGACUCGGAAUGCUGCGAGACUUUGCGAGGGGCCUUCGUGUGCCAAAAAUAGGCCGCGGGCAAAGCCGCACCCAAAAAUAACCGCCCGACGGCUGGGGUGCCAAGUACGUCCAGCAGAAAAAGGCCACAAAAACGGGUGGGCUAUUGCCUUGGGGGGUGGGGUUGCCCAACUUCGUCCCCCGGACUCGGAAUGCCGCGAGACUUUGCGAGGGGCCUCCGUGUGCCAAAAAUAAGCCGCGGGUAAAGCCGCGCCCAAAAUUAACCGCCCGAAGGCUGGGGCGCCAAGUUCGUCCGGCGGAAAAAAGGCCACAAAAACGAGUGGGCUAUAGCCUUGGGGGGUGGGGCUGGCCAACUUCGUCCGCCGGGCUCGGAUUGCGACGAGACAUUGCGAGGGGCCUCCGUGUACCAAAAAUAAGUCGCGGGAAAAGCCGCACCCAAAAUAACAGCCCGAAAGCCUGGGCAACAAGUUCGUCCAGCGGAAAAAGGCCACAAAAACGGGUGGGCUAUAGCCUUGGGCAGUUGGGUCUGGCGAACUUCGUCUGCCGGACUCGGAUGCCGCGAGACUUUGCGAGGGGCCUCCGUGUGUCAAAAAUAGGCCGCGGGAAAAGCCGCGCCCAAAAAGAACCGCCCGACGGCUGGGGUACCAAGUUCGUCCAGCGGAAAAAGGCUACAAAAACGGGUGGGCUAUAGCCUUGGGGGGUGGGGCUGGCUAACUUCGUCCGCCGGACUUGGAAUGCCGCGAGACUUUGCGAGGGGCCUCCGUGUUCCAAAAAUAGGCCGCGGGCAAAGCCGUACCCAAAAUUAACCGCCCGAAGGCUGGGGCGCCAAGUUUGUCCAGCGGAAAAAGGCCACAAAAACGGGUGGGCUAUAGCCUUGGGGGGUGAUGCUGGCCAUCUUUGUCCGCCGGACUUGGAAUGCCACGAGACUUUGCGAGGGCCCUCCGUGUGCCAAAAAUAGGCCGUGGGCAAAGCCGCGCCCAAAAUUAACCGCCCGAAGGCCGGGGCGCCAAGUUCGUCCAGCGGAAAAGGCCACAAAAACGGGUGGGCUAUAGCCUUGGGGGGUGGGGCUAGCCAACUUCAUCCGCCGGACUCGGAAUGCCGUGAGACUUUAUGAGGGGCCUCCUUGUCCCAAACAUAGGCCGUGGGCAAAGCCGCGCCCAAAAAUAACCGCCCGAAGGCCGGGGCGGCAAGUUCGUCCAGCGGAAAAAGGCCACAAAAACGGGUGGGCUAUAGCCUUGGGGGGUGAUGCUGGCCCACUUCGUCCGCCGGACUCGGAAUGCUGCGAGACUUUGCGAGGGGCCUUCGUGUGCCAAAAAUAGGCCGCGGGCAAAGCCGCACCCAAAAAUAACCGCCCGACGGCUGGGGUGCCAAGUACGUCCAGCAGAAAAAGGCCACAAAAACGGGUGGGCUAUUGCCUUGGGGGGUGGGGUUGCCCAACUUCGUCCCCCGGACUCGGAAUGCCGCGAGACUUUGCGAGGGGCCUCCGUGUGCCAAAAAUAAGCUGCGGGUAAAGCCGCGCCCAAAAUUAACCGCCCGAAGGCUGGGGCGCCAAGUUCGUCCGGCGGAAAAAGGCCACAAAAACGAGUGGGCUAUAGCCUUGGGGGGUGGGGCUGGCCAACUUCGUCCGCCGGGCUCGGAUUGCGACGAGACAUUGCGAGGGGCCUCUGUGUACCAAAAAUAGGUCGCGGGAAAAGCCGCACCCAAAAAUAACAGCCCGAAGGCCUGGGCAACAAGUUCGUCCAGCGGAAAAAGGCCACAAAAACGGGUGGGCUAUAGCCUUGGGCGGUGGGUCUGGCGAACUUCGUCUGCCGGACUCGGAAUGCCGCGAGACUUUCCGAGGGGCCUCCGUGUGCCAAAAAUAGGCCGCGGGCAAAGCCGCGCCCAAAAAUAACCGCCCGACGGCUGGGGUGCCCAGUUCGUCCCGCGGAAAAAGGCCAUAAAAACGGGUGGGCUAUAGCCUUGGGGGGUGAUGAUUGCCAACUUCGUCCGCCGGACUCGGAAUGCCGCGAGACUUUGCGAGGGGCCUCCGUGUGCCAAAAAUAGGCCGCGGGCAAAGCCGUGCCCAAAAUUAACCGCCCGAAGGCCGGGGCGCCAAGUUCGUCCACCGGAAAAAGGCCACAAAAACGGGCGGGCUAUACCCUUGGGGGGUGAUGCUGGNNNNNNNNNNNNNNNNNNNNNNNNNNNNNNNNNNNNNNNNNNNNNNNNNNNNNNNNNNNNNNNNNNNNNNNNNNNNNNNNNNNNNNNNNNNNNNNNNNNNCCGCGUGCCAAAAAUAGGCCACGGACAAUGCCGCGUCCAAAAUUAACCGCCCGAAGGCCGGGGCGCCAAGUUCGUCCAGUGGAAAAAGGCCACAAAAACGGGUGGGCUAUAGCCUUGGGGGGUGGGGCUGGCCAACUUCGUCCGCCGGACUCGGAAUGCCGCGAGACUUUGCGAGGGGUCUCCGUGUGCCAAAAAUAGUCUGUGGGCAAAGCCGUGCACAAAAAUAACCGCCCGAAGGCCGGGGCGCCAAGUUCGUCCAUCGGAAAAAGGCCACAAAAACGGGUGGGCUAUAGCCUUGGGGGGUGGGGCUGGCCAACUUCGUCCGCCGGACUCGGAUUGCCACGAGACAUUGCGAGGGGCCUCCGUGUGCCAAAAAUAGGUCGCAGGCAAAGCCGCGCCCAAAAAUAACAGCCCAAAGACCUGGGCGCCAACUUCGUCCAGCAGAAAAAGGCCACAAAAACGGGUGGGCUAUAGCCUUGGGGGGUGGGUCUGGCCAACUUCGUCCGCCGGACUCGGAAUGCCGCGAGACUUUGCGAGGGGCCUCCGUGUGUCAAAAAUAGGCCGCGGGAAAAGCCGCGCCCAAAAAGAACCGCCCGACGGCUGGGGUACCAAGUUCGUCCAGCGGAAAAAGGCUACAAAAACGGGUGGGCUAUAGCCUUGGGGGGUGGGGCUGGCUAACUUCGUCCGCCGGACUUGGAAUGCCGCGAGACUUUGCGAGGGGCCUCCGUGUUCCAAAAAUAGGCCGCGGGCAAAGCCGUACCCAAAAUUAACCGCCCGAAGGCUGGGGCGCCAAGUUUGUCCAGCGGAAAAAGGCCACAAAAACGGGUGGGCUAUAGCCUUGGGGGGUGAUGCUGGCCAUCUUUGUCCGCCGGACUUGGAAUGCCACGAGACUUUGCGAGGGCCCUCCGUGUGCCAAAAAUAGGCCGUGGGCAAAGCCGCGCCCAAAAUUAACCGCCCGAAGGCCGGGGCGCCAAGUUCGUCCAGCGGAAAAGGCCACAAAAACGGGUGGGCUAUAGCCUUGGGGGGUGGGGCUAGCCAACUUCAUCCGCCGGACUCGGAAUGCCGUGAGACUUUAUGAGGGGCCUCCUUGUCCCAAACAUAGGCCGUGGGCAAAGCCGCGCCCAAAAAUAACCGCCCGAAGGCCGGGGCGGCAAGUUCGUCCAGCGGAAAAAGGCCACAAAAACGGGUGGGCUAUAGCCUUGGGGGGUGAUGCUGGCCCACUUCGUCCGCCGGACUCGGAAUGCUGCGAGACUUUGCGAGGGGCCUUCGUGUGCCAAAAAUAGGCCGCGGGCAAAGCCGCACCCAAAAAUAACCGCCCGACGGCUGGGGUGCCAAGUACGUCCAGCAGAAAAAGGCCACAAAAACGGGUGGGCUAUUGCCUUGGGGGGUGGGGUUGCCCAACUUCGUCCCCCGGACUCGGAAUGCCGCGAGACUUUGCGAGGGGCCUCCGUGUGCCAAAAAUAAGCCGCGGGUAAAGCCGCGCCCAAAAUUAACCGCCCGAAGGCUGGGGCGCCAAGUUCGUCCGGCGGAAAAAGGCCACAAAAACGAGUGGGCUAUAGCCUUGGGGGGUGGGGCUGGCCAACUUCGUCCGCCGGGCUCGGAUUGCGACGAGACAUUGCGAGGGGCCUCCGUGUACCAAAAAUAGGUCGCGGGAAAAGCCGCACCCAAAAAUAACAGCCCGAAGGCCUGGGCAACAAGUUCGUCCAGCGGAAAAAGGCCACAAAAACGGGUGGGCUAUAGCCUUGGGCGGUGGGUCUGGCGAACUUCGUCUGCCGGACUCGGAAUGCCGCGAGACUUUCCGAGGGGCCUCCGUGUGCCAAAAAUAGGCCGCGGGCAAAGCCGCGCCCAAAAAUAACCGCCCGACGGCUGGGGUGCCCAGUUCGUCCCGCGGAAAAAGGCCACAAAAACGGGUGGGCUAUAGCCUUGGGGGUUGAUGAUUGCCAACUUCGUCCGCCGGACUCGGAAUGCCGCGAGACUUUGCGAGGGGCCUCCGUGUGCCAAAAAUAGGCCGCGGGCAAAGCCGUGCCCAAAAUUAACCGCCCGAAGGCCGGGGCGCCAAGUUCGUCCAGCGGAAAAAGGCCACAAAAACGGGUGGGCUAUAGCCUUGGGGGGUGAUGCUGGCCAACUUCGUCCGCCGGACUCGGAAUGCCGCGAGACUUUGCGAGGGGCCUCCGCGUGCCAAAAAUAGGCCACGGACAAUGCCGCGUCCAAAAUUAACCGCCCGAAGGCCGGGGCGCCAAGUUCGUCCAGUGGAAAAAGGCCACAAAAACGGGUGGGCUAUAGCCUUGGGGGGUGGGGCUGGCCAACUUCGUCCGCCGGACUCGGAAUGCCGCGAGACUUUGCGAGGGGUCUCCGUGUACCAAAAAUAGUCUGUGGGCAAAGCCGUGCACAAAAAUAACCGCCCGAAGGCCGGGGCGCCAAGUUCGUCCAUCGGAAAAAGGCCACAAAAACGGGUGGGCUAUAGCCUUGGGGGGUGGGGCUGGCCAACUUCGUCCGCCGGACUCGGAUUGCCACGAGACAUUGCGAGGGGCCUCCGUGUGCCAAAAAUAGGUCACAGGCAAAGCCGCGCCCAAAAAUAACAGCCCAAAGACCUGGGCGCCAACUUCGUCCAGCAGAAAAAGGCCACAAAAACGGGUGGGCUAUAGCCUUGGGGGGUGGGUCUGGCCA